UAUAGCAUGAUAUGGAUUGGCCGCUGGAAUAUGCAUGCAUUUAAUAUCAACGUUUUCAAUCAGCCUUAAUUUUUGAAUCUGUUCAAAGUAGCACGUUCUCAAAUCCGACUGAAAGUGUCUUUCUAAUACAACACAGGGGUACAUAUAACGUGUUGUCGUUCUCAUAUGCACAUGAUAUUUGUCACUGGACGUUAACCCCUAAUUC
RNAcentral lists this long non-coding RNA (205 nucleotides) under Mytilus galloprovincialis (Mediterranean mussel). Lineage: Eukaryota; Metazoa; Mollusca; Bivalvia; Mytilida; Mytilidae. The record is from RNAcentral.